GCGUCCUGGUCGGAUGCGGAAC
RNAcentral lists this small nuclear RNA (22 nucleotides) under Arabidopsis thaliana (thale cress). RNAcentral's name for it is "snRNA_15397". The record is from RNAcentral. Lineage: Eukaryota; Viridiplantae; Streptophyta; Magnoliopsida; Brassicales; Brassicaceae.